UUCUGGUAGUAGACGCCGAAGCUGAGGCCAUCCUCGUCGAGGGAGUCGAAGAUGGUCUUCUGGGGAAAGCCAUGAACGAGGUCCCGGCGCACGUUGCUGGUGGCGCCGUGGGAGGUGGCGGAGUGAACGUAGAAGCGGUUGGGCUGGGUGGAGGCCGGGACGGAGGCGAACCACCGGUCGAACACCGCGAACUCCUCCGCGAGGGCGGAGUAGACGGGGACGGCAUCGGGGGCGAAGCCCCGCAUGACGGUACUGGCCAUCCCCUCGCCCAUGCUCUCAGCCUGCUGGGCGAAGCCGCUCAUGGGGGCGGGCACGGCGGCGGUGUCCUCGGAACCGAAGAUCUGCUCGCGGAUGGCCUGGAAGGAGUGGCCGGGGUCAGAGUCGACGUAGGCGGCGCCAUCGGAGACGAAGACCUCCGGGGAGGAAGGGUCGGAGGCGUUAAGGCGGUUGUACUCGUGGCCGGUGAGACCGUCGAUGUCUGGGCGGCCGCCCUUGGUCCGGAGCCAACCCAGCAUGUGGUCGAACGACCGGUUCUCCAUCACCAGCACAACCAGGGUCUUGAUCGGCCCCUUGAUCUCGUGCUUCGCCUUCUUCUUCCUCCUUCCCGACACCGCCCUCUCGGCGUCCAGGCAGUGGGCGGAGGUCACCAGGUAGAGCAAGAAAACGGCCACCACCAGGAGCCUCCGCCGCGCCCGCCGCCCGCCCUGAGCCACCAAAUCCAUCUCCCUGCCGCCCCACGGAGGAGCCCGGACGAAAGAGUCCCAAAGAGCUCCUCCCUUGCUCAGAGACAAGAGAAAGAAAGGGGAGGUUUUCUCGAGUGCGGUUG
RNAcentral lists this long non-coding RNA (826 nucleotides) under Musa acuminata (dwarf banana). Its description in RNAcentral is "long non-coding RNA (MACU_LNC005608)". The record is from RNAcentral. Lineage: Eukaryota; Viridiplantae; Streptophyta; Magnoliopsida; Zingiberales; Musaceae.